Molecule: ribosomal RNA, 963 nt
Filed under: Escherichia coli UMEA 3208-1
Lineage: Bacteria; Pseudomonadati; Pseudomonadota; Gammaproteobacteria; Enterobacterales; Enterobacteriaceae
Description: bacterial LSU rRNA
Rfam family: Bacterial large subunit ribosomal RNA
Source: RNAcentral
CUUGUCGGGUAAGUUCCGACCUGCACGAAUGGCGUAAUGAUGGCCAGGCUGUCUCCACCCGAGACUCAGUGAAAUUGAACUCGCUGUGAAGAUGCAGUGUACCCGCGGCAAGACGGAAAGACCCCGUGAACCUUUACUAUAGCUUGACACUGAACAUUGAGCCUUGAUGUGUAGGAUAGGUGGGAGGCUUUGAAGUGUGGACGCCAGUCUGCAUGGAGCCGACCUUGAAAUACCACCCUUUAAUGUUUGAUGUUCUAACGUUGGCCCGUAAUCCGGGUUGCGGACAGUGUCUGGUGGGUAGUUUGACUGGGGCGGUCUCCUCCUAAAGAGUAACGGAGGAGCACGAAGGUUGGCUAAUCCUGGUCGGACAUCAGGAGGUUAGUGCAAUGGCAUAAGCCAGCUUGACUGCGAGCGUGACGGCGCGAGCAGGUGCGAAAGCAGGUCAUAGUGAUCCGGUGGUUCUGAAUGGAAGGGCCAUCGCUCAACGGAUAAAAGGUACUCCGGGGAUAACAGGCUGAUACCGCCCAAGAGUUCAUAUCGACGGCGGUGUUUGGCACCUCGAUGUCGGCUCAUCACAUCCUGGGGCUGAAGUAGGUCCCAAGGGUAUGGCUGUUCGCCAUUUAAAGUGGUACGCGAGCUGGGUUUAGAACGUCGUGAGACAGUUCGGUCCCUAUCUGCCGUGGGCGCUGGAGAACUGAGGGGGGCUGCUCCUAGUACGAGAGGACCGGAGUGGACGCAUCACUGGUGUUCGGGUUGUCAUGCCAAUGGCACUGCCCGGUAGCUAAAUGCGGAAGAGAUAAGUGCUGAAAGCAUCUAAGCACGAAACUUGCCCCGAGAUGAGUUCUCCCUGACUCCUUGAGGGUCCUGAAGGAACGUUGAAGACGACGACGUUGAUAGGCCGGGUGUGUAAGCGCAGCGAUGCGUUGAGCUAACCGGUACUAAUGAACCGUGAGGCUUAACCUU